This 104-nucleotide ribosomal RNA is filed under the name Helianthus annuus (common sunflower). Lineage: Eukaryota; Viridiplantae; Streptophyta; Magnoliopsida; Asterales; Asteraceae. The record is from RNAcentral.
GGUUGCGAUCAUACUAGCACUAAUGCACCGGAUCCCAUCAGUGUGCUUGGGCGAGAGUAGUACUAGGAUGGGUGACCCCCUGGGAAGUCCUCGUGUUGCAACCC